This 522-nucleotide ribosomal RNA is filed under the name uncultured bacterium. RNAcentral's name for it is "bacterial SSU rRNA". It matches the Rfam family "Bacterial small subunit ribosomal RNA", at positions 355 to 895 of the family's 1533-position model. The record is from RNAcentral.
GGGGGAAACAUAGACAAUGGGGGAAACCCUGAUCUUGCCAUGCCGCGUGAGCGAUGAGGGCCCUAGGGUUGUAAAGCUCUUUCGCCAGGGAAGAUAAUGACGGUACCUGGUAAAGAAACCCCGGCUAACUCCGUGCCAGCAGCCGCGGUAAUACGGAGGGGGUUAGCGUUGUUUGGAAUUACUGGGCGUAAAGCGCACGUAGGCGGGCUGGAAAGUUGGAGGUGAAAUCCCGGGGCUCAACCCCGGAACUGCCUCCAAAACUGUCAGCCUCGAGUCCGAGAGAGGUGAGUGGAACUCCGAGUGUAGAGGUGAAAUUCGUAGAUAUUCGGAAGAACACCAGUGGCGAAGGCGGCUCACUGGCUCGGUACUGACGCUGAGGUGCGAAAGUGUGGGGAGCAAACAGGAUUAGAUACCCUGGUAGUCCACACCGUAAACGAUGAAUGCCAGACGUCGGGCAGCAUGCUGUUCGGUGUCACACCUAACGGAUUAAGCAUUCCGCCUGGGGAGUACGGCCGCAAGGUU